RNAcentral lists this non-coding RNA (30 nucleotides) under Rattus norvegicus (Norway rat). Lineage: Eukaryota; Metazoa; Chordata; Mammalia; Rodentia; Muridae. The record is from RNAcentral.
UCUAAGAAUUACUUAGAUUGCAGGGGCAUU